UAGGGAAUCUUCCGCAAUGGACGCAAGUCUGACGGAGCAACGCCGCGUGAGUGAAGAAGGAUUUCGGUUCGUAAAACUCUGUUGUUAGAGAAGAACAGCGCUUAGAGUAACUGUUAUGCGUGUGACGGUAUCUAACCAGAAAGCCACGGCUAACUACGUGCCAGCAGCCGCGGUAAUACGUAGGUGGCAAGCGUUGUCCGGAUUUAUUGGGCGUAAAGCGAGCGCAGGCGGUCAAUUAAGUCUGAUGUGAAAGCCCCCGGCUCAACCGGGGAGGGUCAUUGGAAACUGGUUGACUUGAGUGCAGAAGAGGAGAGUGGAAUUCCAUGUGUAGCGGUGAAAUGCGUAGAUAUAUGGAGGAACACCAGUGGCGAAGGCGACUCUCUGGUCUGUAACUGACGCGGAGGCUCGAAAGCGUGGGUAGCAAACAGG
Molecule: ribosomal RNA, 429 nt
Filed under: Bacteroidota bacterium
Lineage: Bacteria; Pseudomonadati; Bacteroidota
Description: Bacteroidetes bacterium partial 16S ribosomal RNA
Rfam family: Bacterial small subunit ribosomal RNA
Source: RNAcentral